CCUACGGGCGGCAGCAGUGGGGAAUAUUGCACAAUGGGGGAAACCCUGAUGCAGCGACGCCGCGUGGGUGACGAAGUAUUUCGGUAUGUAAAGCCCUAUCAGCAGGGAAGAAGAUGACAGUACCUGACCAAGAAGCCCCGGCUAACUACGUGCCAGCAGCCGCGGUAAUACGUAGGGGGCAAGCGUUAUCCGGAUUUACUGGGUGUAAAGGGAGGGUAGGUGGCAUGGCAAGCCAGAAGUGAAAACCCGGGGCUUAACCCCGCGGAUUGCUUUUGGAACUGUCAGGCUGGAGUGCAGGAGGGGCAGGCGGAAGUCCUGGUGUAGCGGUGAAAUGCGUAGAUAUCAGGAGGAACACCGGUGGCGAAGGCGGCCUGCUGGACUGUAACUGACACUGAGGCUCGAAAGCGUGGGGAGCAAACAGGAUUAGAUACCCUGGUAGUC
Molecule: ribosomal RNA, 441 nt
Filed under: uncultured bacterium
Lineage: Bacteria
Description: partial 16S ribosomal RNA
Rfam family: Bacterial small subunit ribosomal RNA
Source: RNAcentral